UACGUAGGGGGCAAGCGUUAUCCGGAUUUACUGGGUUUAAAGGGUGCGUAGGCGGAUCGUUAAGUCAGUGGUCAAAUUGAGGGGCUCAACCCCUUCCCGCCAUUGAAACUGGCGAUCUUGAGUGGAAGAGAAGUAUGCGGAAUGCGUGGUGUAGCGGUGAAAUGCAUAGAUAUCACGCAGAACCCCGAUUGCGAAGGCAGCAUGCCGGCUUCCGACUGACGCUGAAGCACGAAAGCGUGGGGAUCGAACAGG
RNAcentral lists this ribosomal RNA (252 nucleotides) under uncultured bacterium. RNAcentral describes it as "partial 16S ribosomal RNA". It matches the Rfam family "Bacterial small subunit ribosomal RNA", at positions 524 to 776 of the family's 1533-position model. The record is from RNAcentral.